RNAcentral lists this unclassified non-coding RNA (384 nucleotides) under Hevea brasiliensis (rubber tree). Lineage: Eukaryota; Viridiplantae; Streptophyta; Magnoliopsida; Malpighiales; Euphorbiaceae. The record is from RNAcentral.
GAAGAGAGUAAGACACAAAAACCUGCAAAAAUAAAUCAACUUGAAAAGCCCAAUUCCUAGAAAAUCAUUAUAAUACCAAGAAAUCAAACUCUCAGCAGCUCGAUUUCAAGUUCUAGGGAAAGAAUUUUCAUAAGAUCACAGCUCAGAAGCAAAAUUUUCAUAUGAUAAAACUUAUAAACAUUAAUAAAUCUAUCAAUUAAUGAAGUUUACUUUCAAAUUCUGAAUAUGAAUUAUCACUAUUCCCAUACCCAGCGACACCAAUCUGAAUCUAACUAAAAAGGCUAAAAGCCAAAAAAAAAAAAAUCUAAAAAAGAAAACAAAAUCAGAAGGUAGAAGGAAAAGAAAUACAGAAAAAUUAAAUAGGGAAAAGGGAAGAAAUUAAAA